AGCGCGCCAAUUGGUCCGCGUGGUCACAUGCUCUAGAGCUACAAAAGUAAAAACAAGUCGAUUAGACAAAAAUAUAAAAAAUGCUUUGCAAGUGUGUGCUAACAUUAGCUUUCUUAAUUGUGUUAUUAGAUUUCGUUCCGGCACAGGCUAGAGUGGCGGAAGAUUAUAAAUUGAUUGCACUCGACGAACCAUGCGUCAGGCAAGGCGGCAUCUGCAUGGAGCGGUCCAAGUGCGAGAGCGUGGUCGGCUUCAAUCGGGGGAACCUGUGUCCGGCAUUCCCUGCACAUUUGGGGCUCGCGUGUUGUUACUAUUAAUGAAGUAAUUGCCAGAAAAGGAGGAGCCAAAUGAUUAUGUAUUUUAAUUUAACAGCUAGUUACACGCAUUAGUUUUACAAAUGUUUAAGAUAAUGGCUACUGUUAUUUAAUAUUAAGGACUGAACAUUGUAGAGUUUCAAAAAUGAUGUCAUUUAAGUUUUUGUUAUUCACUGUGUUUACUUAAUACAUGAUGAUUGUUAAUUAGAGAGAAGAAAUUGCAUCGGCUUUGACCAAAAAUUACCAGUGUACCAUUUUUCUCACUAGAGUCAAGUUUUUAAACAUAACCAAGGUUAUACUAAAUACUUUUAAAUAUUUUCAAAUAAAAUUUCGAUUUGGUAAGUGCAAGCAGUAAAACAUAGAAUAAUAAUUUUAUCAUUUAUUAAAGUUUUACCGCACAAGCACUCAAUAAUUUACAAUAUUAUUAAAAAUUGCAACUAUACUGUACUUGUACAAAAUUUCACUGUAAGUAGAGCCAUUAAACUAAAAAAAUCCUUCUUGGAACUGGUAACGUUUUCCUGAAAUAUUGAACCAAAUAGGUAGACUAAUUAAUUACCAAUCAUUCUGUUUAGUCUGUGUUAUUCUAAAUUUAAGUUAAUUAUGCUGGAUUUCUAUAUUCAAUCCUAAUCCAAAUUAUACGGAUUUGGAUUGUCAACUGUCAAAUUUUAAUAUGUUUUUGGCCAAAAUAACUGCGGUUUUUGAUGUUUUUACAUUUUUAUAUUGUUUAUAAGACUAUUUAAACAAUAUUAAAGUGUAAAUGCAUCGAACAUUUUGGAAAUAUAAUCUAAAACUGAAUUCAAUUUGACAGUUGUAAUCCGGAUUUGGACAAGGAUUGAAUAUGGGAAUCGGGCGUUAGAUGAUACCCAUCGUAUUUAAAAUGUAAAAAGCCGUCUAUAAUAAAUUAUGUUGUUUAAUGUUU
This is a long non-coding RNA of Ostrinia nubilalis (European corn borer), 1230 nucleotides long. RefSeq lists it as uncharacterized. The record is from RefSeq and is a predicted model, not a curated record. NCBI's taxonomy places the organism in Eukaryota, Metazoa, Arthropoda, Insecta, Lepidoptera, Crambidae. The transcript has 3 exons.